AGUGAACGCUGGCGGUAGGCCUAACACAUGCAAGUCGAACGGCAGCACAGUAAGAGCUUGCUCUUACGGGUGGCGAGUGGCGGACGGGUGAGGAAUACAUCGGAAUCUACUUUUUCGUGGGGGAUAACGUAGGGAAACUUACGCUAAUACCGCAUACGACCUACGGGUGAAAGCAGGGGAUCUUCGGACCUUGCGCGAUUGAAUGAGCCGGUGUCGGAUUAGCUAGUUGGCGGGGUAACGGCCCACCAAGGCGACGAUCCGUAGCUGGUCUGAGAGGAUGAUCAGCCACACUGGAACUGAGACACGGUCCAGACUCCUACGGGAGGCAGCAGUGGGGAAUAUUGGACAAUGGGCGAAAGCCUGAUCCAGCCAUACCGCGUGGGUGAAGAAGGCCUUCGGGUUGUAAAGCCCUUUUGUUGGGAAAGAAAAGCAGCAGGUUAAUACCCCGCUGUUCUGACGGUACCCAAAGAAUAAGCACCGGCUAACUACGUG
RNAcentral lists this ribosomal RNA (492 nucleotides) under uncultured bacterium. RNAcentral describes it as "partial 16S ribosomal RNA". It matches the Rfam family "Bacterial small subunit ribosomal RNA", at positions 29 to 507 of the family's 1533-position model. The record is from RNAcentral.